UGGGGAAUAUUGCACAAUGGGCGAAAGCCUGAUGCAGCAACGCCGCGUGAGGGACGACGGCCUUCGGGUUGUAAACCUCUUUUAGCAAGGAAGAAGCGAAAGUGACGGUACUUGCAGAAAAAGCGCCGGCUAACUACGUGCCAGCAGCCGCGGUAAUACGUAGGGCGCAAGCGUUAUCCGGAAUUAUUGGGCGUAAAGAGCUCGUAGGCGGUUUGUCGCGUCUGCUGUGAAAACCCGAGGCUCAACCUCGGGCCUGCAGUGGGUACGGGCAGACUAGAGUGCGGUAGGGGAGAUUGGAACUCCUGGUGUAGCGGUGGAAUGCGCAGAUAUCAGGAAGAACACCGAUGGCGAAGGCAGAUCUCUGGGCCGUAACUGACGCUGAGGAGCGAAAGGGUGGGGAGCAAAACAGGCUUAGAUACCCUGGUAGUCCACCCCGUAAACGUUGGGAACUAGUUGUGGGGUCCAUUCCACGGAUUCCGUGACGCAGCUAACGCAUUAAGUUCCCCGCCUGGGGAGUACGGCCGCAAGGCUAAAACUUAAAUGAAUUGACGGGGUCAUAGCUGUUUCCU
Molecule: ribosomal RNA, 569 nt
Filed under: uncultured bacterium
Lineage: Bacteria
Description: partial 16S ribosomal RNA
Rfam family: Bacterial small subunit ribosomal RNA
Source: RNAcentral